Molecule: ribosomal RNA, 507 nt
Filed under: uncultured bacterium
Lineage: Bacteria
Description: partial 16S ribosomal RNA
Rfam family: Bacterial small subunit ribosomal RNA
Source: RNAcentral
GGGGGGGGGGGGGGGGGGGGGGGGUGGGGGCGAGUCGAGCGCUUGGUUCCUCCCGGGGGGUUGGGCUCGGUUGGAAAGAGGGGGGGCGGGCGGGUGAGUACCACGUGGGUAACCUACCCAUCCGGGGGGGGUCACACGUGGAAACAGGUGCUAAUACCGCAUAACAGUUUAUGCCGCAUGGCAUAAGAGUGACAGGCGCUUUCGGGGGUCGCUGCUGGAUGGACCCGCGGUGCGUUAGCUAGUUGGUGCGGUACCGGCUCACCAAGGGCACGAUGAAUAGCCGACCUGAGAGGGGGGUCGGCCACACUGGGACUGAGACGCGGCCCAGAGUCCUACGGGAGGCAGCAGUAGGGAAUCGUCGGAAAUGGACGAAAGUCUGACCGAGCAACGCCGCGUGAGUGAAGAAGGUUUUCGGAUCGUAAAACUCUGUUGUUAGAGAAGAACAAGGACGUUAGUAACUGAACGUCCCCUGACGGUAUCUAACCAGAAAGCCACGGCUAACUACGU